RNAcentral lists this unclassified non-coding RNA (1375 nucleotides) under Athalia rosae (coleseed sawfly). RNAcentral describes it as "misc RNA ENSAEAG00005009319.1". The record is from RNAcentral. Lineage: Eukaryota; Metazoa; Arthropoda; Insecta; Hymenoptera; Athaliidae.
UUGGCGGGAAAAUGCGUGGGCGAUAUUUAUCAUGUUUUCCAUGAUUUGAUUUGAUUUUUUUUUUUCACUCAUUCGAAAGGGAACUAUAAAAUAACAAGCGCCUAGCUGUUACUAUCGCAUAUCGAAAGUUUGAUACCGGAACCGGGGCCACAUUCAAAUUGUUGUUGCAGACUUAUGUCAGAUAAUUAAAUUUCUGGUUAGCUCUUCCGAUUGCCGAGAAGCAAAUUGGUGAAAAAUCUUGAUUUUUUGAAUAUCUAAAAUUCCGAUAGUCACCGCAGAGAAGAAAUAAAUAAAUAAUCAUGGAAGGACGGGAAUCUCAGAAAAGUAAUCUCAGAGAAACCCACAGUAGUCAGUCGGGAUCGCGAAAGAAAAGCUUAACCGAAAAUAAAAAAUCCUCGAGGAAAAGCGAGCGAAAAAAUAACCACGUUCGUCAGAAAUUAGGACUGCCGAGCUCCUCGAACGCGAUGACGAGACGGGCGUCACGGCGCCUGACACGGGCGUCGUUGCAGUUUUCGGUAGAGAAUAGAUGCGAAAAGAAGGUUCCCGCGAUCCCGAACCGCGUUUUCAAGCCCCUCCAACUUUUGCGUCACGUAAAAUUUCUCCAAGUCGUCGCGCGCUAUUUAAAACCGCGGGUCAAAAACGUCCGUCAGGAGAAGUGCGGCGGGUCAUAAAUUUUCAAAACUUCGGUCCACCCGAUCUUGUACUUUUACGUUUAUACCUAUGAUGUCUGCACAGAACGUUAUCGACGAAUUAUAACAAGCAGCUACGCAUGAUUUUGGGUUUUAUUGUGUGUUUAAAUAACGAUGAUUAUAACCCUCUACGUCACCUCCUAAACUUAUCCAACUUUUCCAAAACAAAAGACGCCGAGAUCAGGUGCAACUGAUCCAGAGAUUUCGAUAGGAAGCUGCGGUACAUUGAACAAAACAGAAACAUGUAAAACUCCUGUAAGAACAAACAACGAGAGUAACAAUUCUUUCCUCGAAACAAUAUAAAUCAAUCUCCUUCAAAAGUCAUCACGAACUUUCUUCGAUGCGUACCUAAACAAACUGUGCGACGUGCUGGGUUGAAUUUUCCCAUGUCCGUUUCCGUAGCUAGUCGAAGGCGGCAUGGUCGGCGGUUGAGGUUCGCUAGCUGACCUUUGAACGAGGGCCGGCGCCCUUACCGAGGGUUUACCGGGCGCGGCUGACGUGGUACCCGGUAUCAUUUCGAUGCUAGAACUUUCCCUAGAGGAAUUAAGCGUCUGUUGAAGUAACGUGAGGAUCAAUCGAACGUCUCCAGCCAUCGAGUGCUCGAGCGAUGUGACUUGGCGAGUCAGUUGAUCUAUCCUUGCGUUUAUUUCAUCCAGUGGUCGGCCCGGGCCGCUCUGGAAUUCACC